Molecule: ribosomal RNA, 440 nt
Filed under: uncultured bacterium
Lineage: Bacteria
Description: partial 16S ribosomal RNA
Rfam family: Bacterial small subunit ribosomal RNA
Source: RNAcentral
CCUACGGGUGGCAGCAGUGGGGAAUAUUGCACAAUGGGGGAAACCCUGAUGCAGCGACGCCGCGUGAGUGAAGAAGUAUUUCGGUAUGUAAAGCUCUAUCAGCAGGGAAGAAAAUGACGGUACCUGACUAAGAAGCCCCGGCUAACUACGUGCCAGCAGCCGCGGUAAUACGUAGGGGGCAAGCGUUAUCCGGAUUUACUGGGUGUAAAGGGAGCGUAGACGGCGGAACAAGUCAGAAGUGAAAACCCGGGGCUCAACCCUGGGAGUGCUUUUGAAACUGUUUGGUUGGCGUGCAGGAGAGGUAAGCGGAAUUCCUAGUGUAGCGGUGAAAUGCGUAGAUAUUAGGAGGAACACCAGUGGCGAAGGCGGCUUACUGGACUGUAACUGACGUUGAGGCUCGAAAGCGUGGGGAGCAAACAGGAUUAGAUACCCCUGUAGUC